UUAAAAAGCUCGUAGUUGGAUCAAGAGCUGGACUGUGCACGGUGGCCCCGUUAGUCGUGGUGGGUCCUGCUCAUCCCGACGGCGGCGGAACAACCCCGCGCAUUACGCAGUCCACUCUAGCAGGCCGAAACGGUUCCCUGUGAGUAGGCCCCUUUAUUGGAGUCGAAAGCGCCAACGCAUCAACCAUAUGCAUACGGGACGUCGGCCAAUGUUACUGUGAACAAACCAGCGUGUCCAAAGCAGGCCUUCGCCUGAAUGUUCGAGCAUGGAAUAACAAGGGAUCGAUUCUCUCGGUUCUUUUUGUUGGUUUUUAACCCGAGAAGGAGUAAUUCAGUCCACGGUGUCUGAGUUGGGUUACCCUAGGUCUAGGCUUAGGCCCCAAUUAGGCCGUGUGCUUACGGGAUCAAUAGGGACUGACGGGGUCGUACGUACUUCCGCGUCAGAGGUGAAAUUCUUAGAUCGCGGGAAGACGAACUUCUGCGAAAGCAUUCGACAAGAAUGUCUUCAUUAAUCAAGAACGAGAGUGUGGGGAUCGAAGAUGAUCAGAUACCGUCGUAGUCCACUACUGUAAACAAUGCCGUCUCAGGAUUGAGAAGUGAACUGAAUGACUUUCACAGCACUAACCCCUGAAACGAGAAAUCAAAGAUUAUGGGUUCAGGGGGGAGUACAUUCGCAAGGCUGAAACUUAAAGGAAUUGACGGAAUGACACCACAAGGCGUGGAGUAUGCGGCUUAAUUUGACUCAACACGGGGAAUUUUACUAGGUCAGGACAAUGUAAGGAUUGACAGAUUGAGAGCUCUUUCUCGAUCCAUUGUGUGGUGGUGCAUGGCCGCUCCUGGUUGGUGGAGUGAUUUGUCUGGUUGAUUCCGUUAACGAACGAGAUCUCGACCCUUAAAUAGGUGCCCGUGUCGCUCGUAGUCUCACUCCGCUGGGCCUGC
This 938-nucleotide ribosomal RNA is filed under the name uncultured eukaryote. RNAcentral describes it as "bacterial SSU rRNA". It matches the Rfam family "Eukaryotic small subunit ribosomal RNA", at positions 619 to 1397 of the family's 1831-position model. The record is from RNAcentral.